UUUGGGUGCGUUUGAUUUGUCUGGUGUCCGGGGAGCCGGGCUGCUUCCUCGGGGCUUCAAGUUAAAUGUUUCGGACAACUCCAGUUCAUGCUGGCUAGAAUUUGGCAAGAUCAGAUCCCAAUUAUUCAUGCUACAGAGAUUUUUCCAAAAGAAGACACACUUCUGAUUUUCCCAGAACUGUGAAAGGAAAAUCAAAAUGGAGUCAGUAUUGCUGAGAGAGUUCUCUAAAAUGGAGCCUGGAGACCCUUAAGGAAGUGUGACCUAAUGCAUCUCUCAGCCUGGAUGGAAUCUGACCUUUUGACCUGAUGAAGUCAUCCAGAACAUCUGCCAGAAACUCAUGACAGCCUAUCUACGUAUUGCACCCCUACCCUAAAACAACUUGUGAUUCCCAAGGACAAAUAUUUUCUGACUCGCAUCAGCAUUAAUUACAGUUCUCACCAGGCAAGUUUUAACAACCUUGUGGCUUUUUGUCUUUAUAAGCCCCUGACUCUUGCUGUUCUCCUGAACACUCCUGUGGGGUUACCAAGUCUGUGUCUCCUGAAUUGCAAUUCUUAAGACCCCUCCAAAAUAAACUCUUUUGUUGUUUGCA
Molecule: long non-coding RNA, 589 nt
Organism: Balaenoptera ricei (Rice's whale)
Lineage: Eukaryota; Metazoa; Chordata; Mammalia; Artiodactyla; Balaenopteridae
Exons: 2
Source: RefSeq, a predicted model, not a curated record